Molecule: ribosomal RNA, 253 nt
Filed under: uncultured bacterium
Lineage: Bacteria
Description: partial 16S ribosomal RNA
Rfam family: Bacterial small subunit ribosomal RNA
Source: RNAcentral
UACAGGGGGGGCAAGCGUUGUUCGGAAUUACUGGGCGUAAAGGGCUCGUAGGUGGCCAACUAAGUCAGACGUGAAAUCCCUCGGCUUAACCGGGGAACUGCGUCUGAUACUGGAUGGCUUGAGAUUGGGAGAGGGAUGCGGAAUUCCAGGUGUAGCGGUGAAAUGCGUAGAUAUCUGGAGGAACACCGGUGGCGAAAGCGGCAUCCUGGACCAGAACUGACGCUGAGGAACGAAAGCGAGGGGAGCAAACGGG